AUGGCGGCGGCGAAGAAGAAGGACGACGGUGAGCCUUUGGGCCUUGGGGCGUCAGCCGGCGGCGAGGGCGGUGCUCACUCCGAGGUCAACAAGGGGCUAGGCAGCGCAAGUUUCCCGACCCAGCGCUCGUCUGGGGCACCGACGCAGGAGGUCCAGAUCUCGCCGGCGUUCCGCGCGGCCAGGGCAGUGGCCAAAUGCAUCCACGCGGAUCCAGAAGGCAGGCACCAGUGGGCCUCCUCACUUGGUGGCGUGGAAAAUCUGAAUCUGUUCUUUCUUUUUUUGCAUAGUUUGGAUGAUGAAGUAUGGGAAUUGAGGGUGCAUUUUCAGGGUAGAGAUAACAUGGAAAGGAAGUUUUCCUUAUCAGAAAUGAAUUACCUGUUAUUGUUAGCACUAAUUGAACUUGAGGGCUAUGGGUUGGAUGCCUAUCUAUCAUAUGUUAAGGAUGAGGGUAAGGGGCUGAAGGGGAUUGAGGUUUUGGACAGUGAUGAGAAGGUGGAGGAGAUGCUAGAUUUGUUUGUUGUGAAGAAGGUAUUGAACAUAACAGUGAGAGAGGCUAGUGACCCAAAUCCAGCAGAUGCAAACAUGGACCACACCUUGCUUGAGGAGCAGAUUCCAAUGAGUCAAGUUGGUGAUCCCAUUGUUUAUAGUGUUUCCCAAGAAGGUGUCCUUUUCCCUGUCUCAAAUUCUUCAGAGCCUCCAGUUGUGCCUGUUCAAGCAUAUCUUAACACACAACAGAGCUGUAAUUUCAACAAGGGAAAAGCAGUGGGAAUUGAAAAUAUUGAAGCAGAAGAUGAAGAUGAAGAUGAGUUGGACAAAUCCUCAUCAGAUUUUGAGUUUUUCAGGGGUGAUUACAGAGGAAAAAUAAUUCAUACAAGUCUUGGGCUAGGGGAGAAGAUGAAGGUGGUGAAGGAACAAGUCAACACUACAGGGAAGAGGAAGAGAUGGCUGAGCAUUAUUUUGGGGCUGCUUAUGAACCCUCAGAGUUUUGGUGAUGAAGGCAUUUCUGAUGAAGAAGAUGAUGCACCUAGGUUGCCUUGUGGCAGGAAGAGAAAAUUAAAGAAGAAGGAGAGAGUAUGAGAAGCAUUGAGAAACUACCAUGUUAGGACACUGAGGAACUUUGAGUACCAUAGGAAUGAUCCAAGUAGGAUCAUAGCCUGGUGCUCAGAUAGAAAGCAUGGUUGUGACUUUUAUAUUACUGCUUCUAAGAUUGCCCAUGAGUCAACCUUUAGCAUCAAGAAGAUGAAUCUUGAUCACACCUGUGGAGCAAGUGGAGAGAACACAAAGGUUACCAUGAAGUGGGUUGCAAAGGCUGUUGAGGAUACUGGUCUGCUCAAUGCAAUAGAGGAUGUAUUUCCUGAUUCCCCUCAAAGAUUUUGUUUAAGACACAUAUAUGCCAACUUCCAAUCAGCUGGGUUUAGAGGGGAUGAAUUGAAAAAACAUCUAGACCAGACUGCUUAUUCUUUCACUAAGCAUGGGCAUGAUCUGGGCAUGGAAGCAUUGAAGAAAGAGAGUGAGGAGGCAUGGAAGUGGUUGUCCAACAUGCCAGUCCAUACUUGGGCCAGACAUAGGAUGGAUACUAUAUGCAAGACAGACCUUGUUGUAAACAAUCUUAGUGAAGUUUUCAACAGGAUGAUUCUGGAUGUUAGGAACAAGCCCAUAAGGACAAUGCUUGAAGGAAUAAGGACAAAACUAAUGAUCAAGUUUCAGAAGAUUAGGGAGAAGAUAGAGACAUGUAGGUGGGAUAUCACACCCACAUACUCUGAGAUAUUGGGGGAGGCCAAGAAGUGGGCAAAAUAUUGUGAUGCAUAUAUGGCUGGACCAGGCAUUUGGCAAGUUACAAGUAGUUCAGAAAAGACCUACUGUGUAAACUUGAACAACUACACUUGUGACUGCAGGAGGUGGGAUAUGAUAGUUGUUCCAUGUAGUCAUGUUGUAGCAGCAAUGCAGAAGGUGAAGCUACACCCUGAAGAUUUUGUCCAUGAGUUCUUCAAGAAGCCCCUCUACUGUGAAACCUACAAGCAUAUUAUAUACCCUGUUCCUGGCCCAGAUUAUUGGCCACACACCAUGGGGGAUGACAUAUCUCCUCCAGUAUUCAAAAAAAAGAAGGGUAAAAAGCAGACAGCUAGGAAAGGACAUUUUGAGGAGAAUAGGUCAGUCUACUCUUCAUCUACCAGAGCUAGUACAGAAGUGGUUGCACCCCCACCACCACCAUCAGCACUAGACACAACUAGGAAGAGGCUAGCAACAGCCACAGCUACUCCAGGACCAGCAAAGAGGAACAAGGCUGCUGCUUCUGCUACUCCAGGACCAUCAAAGAGGACCAAACCUGUUGCUUCUGCUACUCCAGCACCUGCCACACCAGCACCUGCCAAGAAGACCAAAGCAACCAAGAAGACAAGGGCUCCUAGCACAUCUUCACCAGCCAAGAACACAAGGUCAUCCAUUGCCUCUCCAACAAAGAACACCAGAGCAUCAACAGCUAGCAGAGGAGGGGGGUACAUAGUUUUCAAUGCUCCAAGGCAAGUUGCUCACUCUGAGAUGGAGAUUGGGUCCAAGAGGGUUAGGAAGCCAACUGGAAAGUGGAAGGCAUAUUUCACUGCUAGUGGAACAAGAACUGUGAACUCAUCUGGGUUGCACUUCUCCAAGAUCUUGUCUGCCAGCCGCCUCUUGAACUCCAGCUCCCACUCCAGCUCCACUCUGCGAGCCCUUUGCCUCCUCACAUCCACUGCCUGCACUGCCUCCCCUUCCUCAUCUGUCACCUCCCCAAGCUCUGGAUCCAUCUAG
RNAcentral lists this ribosomal RNA (2784 nucleotides) under Triticum aestivum (bread wheat). RNAcentral describes it as "partial small subunit ribosomal RNA". Lineage: Eukaryota; Viridiplantae; Streptophyta; Magnoliopsida; Poales; Poaceae. The record is from RNAcentral.